CAACUCUUUGUUAAAAGCAGCUGUAUUCAUGGUGGUGAUGCUACUUGCAAGUUUGUAAUUAUGUGAUGCCAUUUGCCCCUUAUAUUGGACCCCACUUUGUCGAUUCUCAUAUUAAAUCAAUUCCUUUUUUAAUCUAGCAUGUCUAUAUAUUAUUGAUUUCCUUUUUUACCCCUUUAAUAUUCCAUAUCUCUAUUCGGAUUAUACAAGUAUCAUACUUCAUUUUGGAGAUUUCUCUUUAUUUCUUUGGAUGGAGGAAGACCUUUCUCUGUCCGACGUAAAGUUUGCCUUUCCUCUAUCGAGUGGAGAUAUAAAUAAUGUGUUGUUUGUCUUUUGAUCAUGGCAGUGAGGCUUAUGGGAGGUUGUUUCUUUUGGCUGUCAUUUUCUUUUUUGGGUUUUCUAGUGAUGUUUUCUAAGAGUGAUGGUGAGGGUGCAACUCUCUUUGUAACCAUUUUCUAUUCUUCCAAGAAGAUCUCAUGUAAGGUCGAGGCUCGAAUAGCGCUUUGCGAAAAUUUCUUUUACAUACGGAAAGUGGUGGUCUCUCAUCUCCCUCUCUCUUGUUGGAUAUUUGGUCUCAGAUUCUCUUGAUUUUAGCUCGAAUGGUGGUGGAGGCUGGACUUAAUUAUAGAAGCUCUUUCUCCUCUUUCAGGAAUAUUCGAUCUACUCUGUUCAACUCGAUCCUGGCAUUGCAUGUGCCUUUUGUGUUUGGCAACAUUCUCCUAUGCUUCGUUUUUAGUUACGGGCUAUCGGCUACGGUCCCUCUUCUUUGUUUUUUAGUUUUGUAUAGUCUAAGCUACUGUUUGAUAUAAAUAAUUUUGAGUGAAAUUAUUUCUUAUAAAAUUUUAAUAAUUUUGAUAA
Molecule: long non-coding RNA, 855 nt
Filed under: Manihot esculenta (cassava)
Lineage: Eukaryota; Viridiplantae; Streptophyta; Magnoliopsida; Malpighiales; Euphorbiaceae
Description: long non-coding RNA (MESC_LNC002001)
Source: RNAcentral